RNAcentral lists this ribosomal RNA (751 nucleotides) under uncultured Comamonas sp. RNAcentral describes it as "bacterial SSU rRNA". It matches the Rfam family "Bacterial small subunit ribosomal RNA", at positions 28 to 776 of the family's 1533-position model. Lineage: Bacteria; Pseudomonadati; Pseudomonadota; Betaproteobacteria; Burkholderiales; Comamonadaceae. The record is from RNAcentral.
AUUGAACGCUGGCGGCAUGCUUUACACAUGCAAGUCGAACGGUAACAGGUCUUCGGAUGCUGACGAGUGGCGAACGGGUGAGUAAUACAUCGGAACGUGCCUAGUAGUGGGGGAUAACUACUCGAGAGAGUAGCUAAUACCGCAUGAGAUCUACGGAUGAAAGCAGGGGACCUUCGGGCCUUGUGCUACUAGAGCGGCUGAUGGCAGAUUAGGUAGUUGGUGGGGUAAAGGCUUACCAAGCCUGCGAUCUGUAGCUGGUCUGAGAGGACGACCAGCCACACUGGGACUGAGACACGGCCCAGACUCCUACGGGAGGCAGCAGUGGGGAAUUUUGGACAAUGGGCGAAAGCCUGAUCCAGCAAUGCCGCGUGCAGGAUGAAGGCCCUCGGGUUGUAAACUGCUUUUGUACGGAACGAAAAGCCUGGGGCUAAUAUCCCCGGGUCAUGACGGUACCGUAAGAAUAAGCACCGGCUAACUACGUGCCAGCAGCCGCGGUAAUACGUAGGGUGCAAGCGUUAAUCGGAAUUACUGGGCGUAAAGCGUGCGCAGGCGGUUUUGUAAGACAGUGGUGAAAUCCCCGGGCUCAACCUGGGAACUGCCAUUGUGACUGCAAGGCUAGAGUGCGGCAGAGGGGGAUGGAAUUCCGCGUGUAGCAGUGAAAUGCGUAGAUAUGCGGAGGAACACCGAUGGCGAAGGCAAUCCCCUGGGCCUGCACUGACGCUCAUGCACGAAAGCGUGGGGAGCAAACAGG